RNAcentral lists this ribosomal RNA (837 nucleotides) under Mycobacterium arupense. RNAcentral describes it as "Mycolicibacter arupensis bacterial SSU rRNA". It matches the Rfam family "Bacterial small subunit ribosomal RNA", at positions 88 to 921 of the family's 1533-position model. The record is from RNAcentral. Lineage: Bacteria; Bacillati; Actinomycetota; Actinomycetes; Mycobacteriales; Mycobacteriaceae.
UACUCGAGUGGCGAACGGGUGAGUAACACGUGGGUGAUCUGCCCUGCACUUUGGGAUAAGCGUGGGAAACUGGGUCUAAUACCGAAUAGGACCGCAUGCUUCAUGGUGUGUGGUGGAAAGCUUUUGCGGUGUGGGAUGGGCCCGCGGCCUAUCAGCUUGUUGGUGGGGUAAUGGCCUACCAAGGCGACGACGGGUAGCCGGCCUGAGAGGGUGUCCGGCCACACUGGGACUGAGAUACGGCCCAGACUCCUACGGGAGGCAGCAGUGGGGAAUAUUGCACAAUGGGCGCAAGCCUGAUGCAGCGACGCCGCGUGGGGGAUGACGGCCUUCGGGUUGUAAACCUCUUUCAGUAUCGGCGAAGCUCCGGGAUUUUUCUUGGGGUGACGGUAGGUACAGAAGAAGCACCGGCCAACUACGUGCCAGCAGCCGCGGUAAUACGUAGGGUGCGAGCGUUGUCCGGAAUUACUGGGCGUAAAGAGCUCGUAGGUGGUUUGUCACGUUGUCCGUGAAAACUCACAGCUUAACUGUGGGCGUGCGGGCGAUACGGGCAGACUAGAGUACUGUAGGGGAGACUGGAAUUCCUGGUGUAGCGGUGGAAUGCGCAGAUAUCAGGAGGAACACCGGUGGCGAAGGCGGGUCUCUGGGCAGUAACUGACGCUGAGGAGCGAAAGCGUGGGGAGCGAACAGGAUUAGAUACCCUGGUAGUCCACGCCGUAAACGGUGGGUACUAGGUGUGGGUUUCCUUCCUUUAGGGAUCCGUGCCGUAGCUAACGCAUUAAGUACCCCGCCUGGGGAGUACGGCCGCAAGGCUAAAACUCAAAGGAAUUGACGGGGGCC